UGUUUGGCACCUAUCACGUGAUAAGUCUUGACGUCAGAGGUUUCGUUGGAAGUGUUUCAACAAACACUGUGGAGAGAAAGCUUUGAUUUACACACAGUGAGGUACAAAGGGUUUAAAUCAUAGCAGAACCUGCUUUUGAAAACAUGAGGUUCAACUGUGGGGCUUCAUAUUAUCUAUCAGUCGGUCAGUGCACGUGGAACUUCAGAAAAAAUUCCAUGACAAACCCCAUAGAAUUCAAAGAUCUUCCUAUGGAAUAUCUUAGUCCUGCAAAGAGCACCAACAUAAACAUCCGCUGAGGACCGAGACCAAAGAUGAGGAUCAAUACCAUAACAAAAAGCACUGAGAUAAAUCAUUAAAAGAUUAUUAUUCUGAGUAUUAUGGAGUUCUUCAAAAAUGCACCAACGAGGUCACGGGUACUAAUAUCUGCCACCAGACCCCUGCAGCUCAUCCAGAAUGCUGCAGCUCGCCUGAUCAACCUCCAUCAUUCCUCCUAUGUCACCCCUCUGCUCGCUGCCCUUCACCGGCUUCCUGUUGCAGCUCACAUCAAAUUUAAGACUUUGGUGCUAGGUAGUCAAGGGGUCAGGUUCAGCAUGGCUCCAGAGUCUGACCUGACCCAAUAAGCCAGCCAGAUCCCUACGCUCCACUACUAUUGGUUAUCUGGCCCUUCCUCCUCUGCGCUCCUGCCCAGCCCAGUCAAGACUGUCUGUUCUGGAGCCCCAUUGGUGGAAUGACCUUCCCACUAAGGUGAGAACUGCUGACUUCCUGACCAUCUUCAAGCACAGACUGAAGACUCACCUCUUCAGGCUGCACCUCUCCCCUUCUUCCUUGCCCACUGUGUAAUCACAUAGCUGCCUUGACCAAUUCAGGCUGUGUACCGUCUAGCCUGGUCACAAUGACUUGGUGUUAUUUACUUGUACUUUGUCAGCUCAUUUGUAUGGUUGGUUGGUUUCCUUGGCUGUUUGCUGAGUAUUGGUAUUUCAACAGAAUAUUACACUGUGUUAUUCUGUCAAUUGUUCAUUUGGCACUAGAAAUUUCUUGUGUAGAAGUUCAGCACUUGUUGUAGAUUGCUCUGGAUAAGAUCAUCUGCUAAAUGCCUGUAAUAUAAUGUAAGGUAAGGAAAUAAAUGUAUAAUAAUGUCAUUUACCAGCUGGGAGGUCUGUAUCGUGAAAUAUCGUGACUGAGGUCUUGAAAGUACUGAGCGAGGCCCUCUGGGCCGAGGUCAGUAUUCAAGGCCGAAGUCACGGUAUUUCACCAUACGGACCGACCUUAAGCUGGUAAAUAAUAUAUUUAUUUUUUUCUUACCCAAAUUCUAACAGAAAACGAGAGCGCCCGAAAGGGAAAACUGAGCCGAGCCGCCAUUUUGAAUCCUCAUUCACGACUGUAAUGCAAAUGGUUUCCUCCUCGGUAUACAAGUGCACUCCCAUGGCAGGAAAAAAAAAAAACAACUACAUUUUGCCGCCUAUGUAGCCACCUAUUUAUACAAAUAGGAGUCAUUCAGGAUUCAGCCAUGUUUUUGCUCAGUGUUAGCAACAGUUACAGGUUUUAGCUUUCUCCUGAAAUGUUUUUUCUUUUAUUUCUUCUUCCUCAGGGUAGUAAAACUCGUUUUCGCUGUGAACACUGUCGUUAUCGCUAUCCAUGCUGUAAAAUUAAUGCUAUUUUGAAUCCUCAUUCACGGCUGUAAUGCAAAUGGCUUCCUCCUCGGUAUACAAGUGCACUUCCAUAGCAGGAAAAAAAACUACAUUUUGCCGCCAAUGUAGUCCCCUAUUUAUACAAAUAGGAGUCAUUCAGGAUUCAGCCAUGUUUUUGCUCGGCGUUAGCAACAGUUACAGGUUUUAGCUUUCUCCUGAAAUGUUUUAUUUUAUUUCUUCUUCCUCAGGGUAGUAAAACUCACUUUCGCUGUGAACACUGUCGUUAUCGCUAUCCAUGCUGUAAAAUUAAUGCUAUUCUCCUGAGAAAUGCUGGCAAAAAUUUACAAGAUUUUUGAUAAUCUUAUAAAUAAAUCUUAGAUAAAUGUUGACAAAAAUUGCUACUAUGUUUGUUCUUGUUGUGAACGAGCAAGUCACCAGAGGUCCGUAACCUGGGUCUGUAACUGUGGCCCAUACCGUAGGAUACGGACCCGCUCACCAGCCAAUCAGACCACAGGAUUCGAUGGAAACUGGACCGCAAAAAAAAAAAUUAAUCAUUACUUUACAAUAUUAGGAUACUUUGGUAAGAACUUUCUAAUGCUGGAAUAUAUUGUGCUACAUUUUCUGUGCCUUCUGACCUGGUCUCCUGCUAAAGAAAUGGAACACACCCAAACCUUAAUGUACUUGUCAUUAUGUUGAUUACCAUUUAAAUGAAUUGCUUCAGUCCAUCCAGUGCACAUUCAUUACACAAUCUGUCAUCAAUGAUGAUGUAAAAUGCUCAUACCAGAAAUGUAUGAAAGAUAUUUUAAGCAAUUAUAUUGCAUACUGUAAAGCUGUAUUAGCUUUCAAAUGAUUAGGCUUACUUUAAGUGUUGAGCUUGUAAUAGAUUAAUGAUUAAUGACAUUUCAUAUUUAUUUAUUUCUGUAUAUCUGUAUUUCUCCAAGUUCUGUUUCACUGGAUUGGCUCUGCACUUACUAUGGUAUUGCUGGUAUUUUG
This is a long non-coding RNA of Neoarius graeffei (lesser salmon catfish), 2621 nucleotides long. RefSeq lists it as uncharacterized. The record is from RefSeq and is a predicted model, not a curated record. The transcript has 3 exons. Lineage: Eukaryota; Metazoa; Chordata; Actinopteri; Siluriformes; Ariidae.